AGCAGCUGUAAAUAACACAGUGCUAUUCGAGCCAAUUGCUCUGAACCGGGUGAUAUGAUCAUAUUCUUUUUAACGACUUUCUCUGAGGUAUGAGUUGAGAUUUUUCUCCUUCAUCCUCAUGCUGUAUAAUCUGGAUUUAUGUUCAACGUGACCGUUGAGCCUUCACAAUGAAUUUGUCCUGUGAAAAGAUCAGUUGAUACGGAGCCUGGAUCCCAGAUUCUCACCACAGAGUGGGCGCUCAUUAUUUGCACGUCAGCAUCUAAGUCAUCAAUCUCUAGCAGCCACACUCACCCAGAUGAAGCUCCAAACCCAGGGCAUGAAUCUGAAGGCAUAUUGAGCUGAAACAGCUACGUCAUUUUUUAACUGUGAGGGGAGAAUCUGAGAAUCUGAGAAGAUGAGAAUGGAGCCAAGAUAGCAUAAAGUGGAUCCAAGAAAUGGAGAGAAAGAAAGUGGCAAAGCUCAUGAUUUCUCUUCUUUACUGAGUACAUAGAAACUGCUAUACACACUUUGUCAGGAAUAUUGAGUGACAUAGAUGAGCACAUUAAUGGAGAGGGAGAGGUAAGAACAAUGUAUUACAAUGAGAUGAAUUUCUUGACUAAAAUGACAUAUCUGAAUAUUUCUAUUAUUUUUCAAUUUUUAUGCCAAUUUCUAUUUGACAAUGUCGUACUAGCAUUAUAGUUUUGAAAAGUCAGGGCUUUGAAAUUAAUAUAUUUUAGUUUUUAAUCCACACUAGCUGGUUCACAUUAAAAGUGAUUAAGCCUUUUUUUAGCCUCAAGUUUCUCUUCUGUAAAAUAAGGACAAAAACACAGCAUUCUUAAAAUUAUUGAAAAUCAUAAGGUAAAUGAACAGCUUAAAAUCAAACAGACUUUGGAGCCAAAUAAGCGCUAAGUAAGCGGAACUUGUAAGAUAGACAGUCUACCUCUGUUCAAAUUCUUGGUGGUGAAUUAUCCACCACCAGAAAAGGCAGUGCACAUCCCAUUUUUUCAGGUCUUUAUGCUGUGUUGACUUGACUGUGCUGACUUGACUGUGCUACAGCCCAUAGCUUUUCAAUCAAACACUGAUCUAUGUGUUUCUAGGAGGUUAUUUUGCAGAUGCGAUUAUGGCCCAUAAUCAGCUGCUUUCAGAUAAAUUAUCCUAUGUAACCUAGGUGGGCCUGUUUCAAUCCAGGGAAAGGCCUUAAAAGCAGAGCUGAUUGAGACUUUCCUCAUGAAGAAAUUCCUGUAGACAGCAGGCAACAUCAGCUCCUAACCAGGGGUUCCAGCCUGCCCUUCCCGACUGCCUGUCAUAUGGAUUUUGAUUGCCUAACCAAUCCCCACAGUUGCAUAGGCCAAUUCUUUACAAUGAAUCUUUGAAUAUAUAUAUCUCCUACUGAUUCUGUAUCUUUGCCUGUACCUUGACUAAUACAAGGCCCAAGCAUGAAUUCAUUCAGCAAAUAGGAAAAGUUUUCUGUAUACUAAGAAUUGUUCUAGUUACCAAGGAUGCUAUAGAGAACAAACUAGAUAUUGCCCUGAUCAUCAUUUGAACUAAU
RNAcentral lists this long non-coding RNA (1528 nucleotides) under Homo sapiens (human). RNAcentral describes it as "HSALNT0087349". The record is from RNAcentral. Lineage: Eukaryota; Metazoa; Chordata; Mammalia; Primates; Hominidae.